This is a non-coding RNA of Cinara cedri, 203 nucleotides long. Lineage: Eukaryota; Metazoa; Arthropoda; Insecta; Hemiptera; Aphididae. The record is from the annotation of a GenBank genome assembly.
GAUACGUAUUUUAGCAACGGACGACACAGACCAGUUAACAAGUUCAAUACCCGAUUGUCCUUUUUAGCUGUUAGACUACCGCAUUACGAUUCCAUUGAACUGAACUAUUGGAGAAAGUUUUGUAAUAAUGUGACACGAAUCUGGACAUGAAGUUAUAAAACUGUUCUAUUUGUUGAUACGUAUAGAGUAUAAACUUACUUUUU